UACGGAGGGUGCAAGCGUUAUCCGGAUUCACUGGGUUUAAAGGGUGCGUAGGUGGGUAUGUAAGUCAGUGGUGAAAUCCCCGAGCUUAACUUGGGAACUGCCGUUGAUACUAUAUAUCUUGAAUAUCGCGUAGGUAAGCGGAAUAUGUCAUGUAGCGGUGAAAUGCUUAGAUAUGACAUAGAACACCAAUUGCGAAAGGCAGCUUACUUCACGAUUAUUGACACUGAGGCACGAAAGCGUGGGGAGCAAACAGG
Molecule: ribosomal RNA, 254 nt
Filed under: uncultured bacterium
Lineage: Bacteria
Description: partial 16S ribosomal RNA
Rfam family: Bacterial small subunit ribosomal RNA
Source: RNAcentral